RNAcentral lists this long non-coding RNA (468 nucleotides) under Homo sapiens (human). RNAcentral describes it as "HSALNT0397688". Lineage: Eukaryota; Metazoa; Chordata; Mammalia; Primates; Hominidae. The record is from RNAcentral.
CGGCGAGGCAGCGCGGGAUCCCAGCCUCAGGCGUGCGCGGACGGUGUGCGGGUGAGUCUCCCCAAAAGUGGAGCCCUUGUGAUGACGAGCACAGGUCCGCCUGCGUGCCCGUGGGCUGCUCUCUCACCGGUGGCUCUCAGUCGCGGAGAGCAGAACCCGGCAGCUUCAGGGGCUGCCUGCGGGAGGGUGUUCCCUGCUGUACGUGUGUGUUCGUCAUGGGUGUGUGUGUGUGUGUGUUGGGGGGGGUGCGUCUGUGUGUGUGUCUGUGUGUGUGCGCGCGCAGUGCCUGUCUGUGUGCCGACUUCUGUCUCUCUCUCACGUCUCUCUCUCUCUCUCUCUCUCUCUCUGUCUCUCUCUCUCUCUCUCUCUCUCCCUUCUCGCUCUUUCCGUGGCCCUCUCUUUCUGUCUCUGUCCGUCUGUGUGUGCGUGCGCCUCGGGACACAUGUGCCCUGUGCGCCGGAGGGUGGG